GUUCAGUGGUAGAACACCACCUUGCCAAGGUGGGGGUCGCGGGUUCGAAUCCCGUCUUCCGCUCCA
RNAcentral lists this transfer RNA (66 nucleotides) under Halobacillus trueperi. RNAcentral describes it as "tRNA-Gly". It matches the Rfam family "tRNA", at positions 10 to 71 of the family's 71-position model. From Rfam's summary of the family: Transfer RNA (tRNA) molecules are approximately 80 nucleotides in length. Their secondary structure includes four short double-helical elements and three loops (D, anti-codon, and T loops). The record is from RNAcentral. Lineage: Bacteria; Bacillati; Bacillota; Bacilli; Caryophanales; Bacillaceae.